ACCAGGGUGGCUCAGUUGGUUAAGCAUCUGACUUUGGCUCAGGUCAUGACCUCACAGUUUGUGCGUUCGAGCCCCAUCUCUGGUG
Molecule: transfer RNA, 85 nt
Filed under: Felis catus (domestic cat)
Lineage: Eukaryota; Metazoa; Chordata; Mammalia; Carnivora; Felidae
Also listed under: 1 other name
Rfam family: tRNA
About the family: Transfer RNA (tRNA) molecules are approximately 80 nucleotides in length. Their secondary structure includes four short double-helical elements and three loops (D, anti-codon, and T loops). Further hydrogen bonds mediate the characteristic L-shaped molecular structure. tRNAs have two regions of fundamental functional importance: the anti-codon, which is responsible for specific mRNA codon recognition, and the 3' end, to which the tRNAs corresponding amino acid is attached (by aminoacyl-tRNA synthetases). tRNAs cope with the degeneracy of the genetic code in two manners: having more than one tRNA (with a specific anti-codon) for a particular amino acid; and 'wobble' base-pairing, i.e. permitting non-standard base-pairing at the 3rd anti-codon position.
Source: Rfam by way of RNAcentral